Molecule: ribosomal RNA, 253 nt
Filed under: uncultured bacterium
Lineage: Bacteria
Description: partial 16S ribosomal RNA
Rfam family: Bacterial small subunit ribosomal RNA
Source: RNAcentral
UACGUAGGGGGCAAGCGUUGUCCGGAAUCAUUGGGCGUAAAGCGCGCGUAGGCGGCCCGGUAAGUCCGCUGUAAAAGUCAAAGGCUCAACCUUUGAAUGUCAGUGGAUACUGCCGGGCUAGAGUCCGGAAGAGGCGAGUGGAAUUCCUGGUGUAGCGGUGGAAUGCGCAGAUAUCAGGAGGAACACCAACGGCGAAGGCAGCUCGCUAGGACGGUACUGACGCUAAGGCGCGAAAGCGUGGGGAGCGAACAGG